Molecule: ribosomal RNA, 100 nt
Filed under: Candidatus Nomurabacteria bacterium CG1_02_31_12
Lineage: Bacteria; Candidatus Nomuraibacteriota
Description: partial 23S ribosomal RNA
Source: RNAcentral
AGAGUCAAAAAAUAAAUUAUUAGUUGAAGUUGCUGGAAAGCGACACCGUAGGGGGUGAUAGUCCCGUAAACGAAAAUAAUUUAUCUCUUUUGUUGUUAUU